CCAGGAAAAUGACCUAUGAAUUGACAGACUGCUUUCUAAACUUGGCUGUCAUUUCUAUAGGCCAAUAUUCUGC
This 73-nucleotide microRNA precursor is filed under the name Colius striatus (speckled mousebird). Its description in RNAcentral is "mir-192/215 microRNA precursor family". It matches the Rfam family "mir-192/215 microRNA precursor family". Rfam says of the family: This family represents the human microRNA (miRNA) precursors mir-192 and mir-215. Animal miRNAs are transcribed as ~70nt precursors and subsequently processed by the Dicer enzyme to give a ~22nt product. In this case the mature sequence comes from the 5' arm of the precursor. Lineage: Eukaryota; Metazoa; Chordata; Aves; Coliiformes; Coliidae. The record is from Rfam by way of RNAcentral.